Molecule: long non-coding RNA, 678 nt
Filed under: Capra hircus (goat)
Lineage: Eukaryota; Metazoa; Chordata; Mammalia; Artiodactyla; Bovidae
Description: lncRNA (ENSCHIG00000008089.1)
Source: RNAcentral
CUUUUCUUGGCUUACCCACUCGGUGCUGUGACAGAUGAAGAAAUGGCUGCCCUUACAUUGUCUUCUUCCUGCUUUGAUCCUGCUGAUUUUGGAGUUUCCCUCACCAUGAAUGAAGACUGUACUGCCAAGGACACUGUGGAAACAUGAGUAUAAGGCUGAUACUUGAGGGCCAGGAGCCAGCUAUUGAUGAGGAAAGUUUAAGACACGAUGACGGACCACAGCCCCAUAGAAGUAUUGGAAAUUACACCGCGGAAGGUCAAUGCGAGCCACUGAGAGAGAGUGCACGACUCCAAGAACUCCGGCAUCUCAGGACUCCGCGACGAUGAAGGUUGCUCUGCUGUGCCGACGUUUGCCAAGGAGAGAAGAGAAUUAGAGAUGAAACUCUGAAGUCAUGAAGACUUGGAGAGUUGGAUGAAAUACUGAGGUUGCUGUAGCUGUUGCGUUAGACUGGUUUUUGUGUCACCAAGUUGAAAGAAUGAUUCUUUUUAACAUUUUUAGCACACAUUGAUUUUGUAAUUUUACGUACUAUGUUUUACUUGUAAGAGAAUAAAUGUUUUCAUCUGUGAAAAAACUCUCUCCUUUGAGGAUACCUGUGGUGGUUUUGCUUCCCUCUGCCAUCUUUGUUAAAGGACAAAGGGAAAAGAGGAGGCAGAGAGUUGAGGACACACACACACUCAC